AGUCGACGGCAGCGCGGGGUAACCUGGCGGCGAGUGGCGAACGGGUGAGUAAUACAUCGGAACGUGCCCUGUGAUGGGGGAUAACUACGCGAAAGCGUAGCUAAUACCGCAUACGACCUACGGGUGAAAGUGGGGGAUCGCAAGACCUCACGUCAUAGGAGCGGCCGAUGGCGGAUUAGCUAGUUGGUGAGGUAAAGGCUUACCAAGGCAACGAUCCGUAGCUGGUCUGAGAGGACGACCAGCCACACUGGGACUGAGACACGGCCCAGACUCCUACGGGAGGCAGCAGUGGGGAAUCUUGGACAAUGGGGGCAACCCUGAUCCAGCAAUGCCGCGUGUGGGAUGAAGGCCUUCGGGUUGUAAACCACUUUUGGCGGGGGCGAAAUAUCGAGUGCUAAUACCAUUCGGUGAUGACGGUACCCGCAGAAUAAGCACCGGCUAACUACGUGCCAGCAGCCGCGGUAAUACGUAGGGUGCAAGCGUUAAUCGGAAUUACUGGGCGUAAAGCGUGCGCAGGCGGUUAGGUAAGACAGAUGUGAAAUUCCCGGGCUCAACCUGGGGAACUGCAUUUGUGACUGCCUGACUAGAGUGCGGCAGAGGGGAGUGGAAUUCCGCGUGUAGCAGUGAAAUGCGUAGAUAUGCGGAGGAACACCGAUGGCGAAGGCAACUCCCUGGGCCUGCACUGACGCUCAUGCACGAAAGCGUGGGAGCAAACCGGAUUAAAUCCCUGGUAGUCCCACGCCCUAAACGAUG
This 753-nucleotide ribosomal RNA is filed under the name uncultured bacterium. RNAcentral describes it as "bacterial SSU rRNA". It matches the Rfam family "Bacterial small subunit ribosomal RNA", at positions 60 to 811 of the family's 1533-position model. The record is from RNAcentral.